GUGGGCGUGCUGGAAUGGUUAUCGGGCAUGACUAGAAAUAAUGUGGGCUUUGCCCGAGCAGGUUCGAAUCUUGCUGCUCAUG
This is a non-coding RNA of Ipomoea nil (Japanese morning glory), 82 nucleotides long. The record is from Rfam. NCBI's taxonomy places the organism in Eukaryota, Viridiplantae, Streptophyta, Magnoliopsida, Solanales, Convolvulaceae.